Molecule: ribosomal RNA, 255 nt
Filed under: uncultured bacterium
Lineage: Bacteria
Description: partial 16S ribosomal RNA
Rfam family: Bacterial small subunit ribosomal RNA
Source: RNAcentral
UACGUAGGACCCAAGCGUUAUCCGGAGUGACUGGGCGUAAAGAGUUGCGUAGGCGGUCUAAUAAGCGAAUAGUGAAACCUGGUGGCUCAACCAUUCAGACUAUUAUUCGAACUGUUAGACUCGAGAGUAGCAGAGGUAACUGGAAUUUCUGAAGUAGGGGUAAUAUCCGUAGAUAUCAGAAGGAACACCAAUGGCGUAGGCAGGUUACUAGGCUAUUUCUGACGCUAAGGCACGAAAGCGUGGGGAGCGAACCGG